CCGACGGUGGAGUAACACGUAUCCAGCCUGCCGUCUACUCUUGGACAGCCUUCUGAAAGGAAGAUUAAUACAAGAUGGCAUCAUGAGUCCGCAUGUUCACAUGAUUAAAGGUAUUCCGGUAGACGAUGGGGAUGCGUUCCAUUAGAUAGUAGGCGGGGUAACGGCCCACCUAGUCUUCGAUGGAUAGGGGUUCUGAGAGGAAGGUCCCCCACAUUGGAACUGAGACACGGUCCAA
This 235-nucleotide ribosomal RNA is filed under the name uncultured bacterium. RNAcentral's name for it is "partial 16S ribosomal RNA". It matches the Rfam family "Bacterial small subunit ribosomal RNA", at positions 105 to 334 of the family's 1533-position model. The record is from RNAcentral.